GCUGGGUGUGGUGGCGCAUGCCUGUAAUUCCAGCAACUCUGGAGGCGGAGAUAGGAGAAUCUUGAGUUCAAAGCCAGCCUCAGCAACUUAGCAGGCACUAGCAACUCAGUGAGCCCCUAUCUCUA
Molecule: small RNA, 125 nt
Filed under: Marmota monax (woodchuck)
Lineage: Eukaryota; Metazoa; Chordata; Mammalia; Rodentia; Sciuridae
Source: RNAcentral